Molecule: ribosomal RNA, 489 nt
Filed under: uncultured bacterium
Lineage: Bacteria
Description: bacterial SSU rRNA
Rfam family: Bacterial small subunit ribosomal RNA
Source: RNAcentral
GAUGAACGCUAGCGAUAGGCCUAACACAUGCAAGUCGAGGGGCAUCACAUGAAGUAGCAAUACGGAUGGUGGCGACCGGCGCACGGGUGAGUAACACGUAUGCAACCUGCCUUCAACAAGGGGAUAACCCGUUGAAAGACGGACUAAUACCCUAUAACACAGGGGUCCCGCAUGGGAAUAUUUGUUAAAGGACAACCGGUUGAAGAUGGGCAUGCGUUCCAUUAGCUAGUUGGCGGGGUAACGGCCCACCAAGGCAACGAUGGAUAGGGGAACUGAGAGGUUUAUCCCCCACACUGGUACUGAGACACGGCCCAGACUCCUACGGGAGGCAGCAGUGAGGAAUAUUGGUCAAUGGACGCAAGUCUGAACCAGCCACGUCGCGUGAAGGAAGACGGCCCUACGGGUUGUAAACUUCUUUUAACGGGAAUAAAGUGCCCCACGCGUGGGGUUUUGCAUGUACCGUAUGAAUAAGGAUCGGCUAACUCCGUG